Molecule: ribosomal RNA, 253 nt
Filed under: uncultured bacterium
Lineage: Bacteria
Description: partial 16S ribosomal RNA
Rfam family: Bacterial small subunit ribosomal RNA
Source: RNAcentral
UACAGAGGGUGCGAGCGUUGUUCGGAAUUACUGGGCGUAAAGCGCGCGCAGGCGGCUAUCCAAGUCAGUGGUGAAAGCCCGGAGCUCAACUCCGGAACUGCCAUUGAAACUGUUUAGCUUGAGGACGAGAGAGGUGAGUGGAAUUCCCAGUGUAGAGGUGAAAUUCGUAGAUAUUGGGAAGAACACCGGUGGCGAAGGCGGCUCACUGGCUCGUAUCUGACGCUCAGGCGCGACAGCGUGGGGAUCAAACAGG